Regulatory RNA element from Isoptericola dokdonensis DS-3, 79 nucleotides. It matches the Rfam family "Actino-pnp RNA". The record is from Rfam. NCBI's taxonomy places the organism in Bacteria, Bacillati, Actinomycetota, Actinomycetes, Micrococcales, Promicromonosporaceae.
UCCGGUCCUCGGUAGUGGCCUCCCGAUCCGCCCGGCUCGCGCCGGGACACGGCUCCGGGGGCCUCGAUCGAAGACCGUC